Diceros bicornis minor is the source of this 465-nucleotide long non-coding RNA. RefSeq lists it as uncharacterized. Lineage: Eukaryota; Metazoa; Chordata; Mammalia; Perissodactyla; Rhinocerotidae. The transcript has 3 exons. The record is from RefSeq and is a predicted model, not a curated record.
UUUUGGUGAGGAGAUCAGCCCUGUGCUAACAUCUGCCAAUUCUCCUCUUUUUUUGCUGAGGAAGACUGGCCCUGGGCUAACAUCCGUGCCCAUCUUCCUCCACUUUAUAUGGGACACCGCCAGCCACAGCAUGGCUUGCCAAGUAGUGAGUUGGUGCGUGCCUGGGAUACGAACCGGCGAACCCCGGGCCACCGCAGCGGAGCGCGCACACUUAACCGCUUGCGCCACCAGGCCAGCCCCCCAGAUGCACCUCCUUCUCAGAGUGGUGAUGGUCUAAGGCUCCUCGCACCUCACCUGCACAGAUAAGGUUCAAAAUCUGCAGGGCAGGCUGGCAGGCUGGAGAUCCAGUUGAUACUGCAACUCAAGUUAAAAGGCAGUCGAGAGGCUGAAUUCCUUCUUCCUUGGAGGACUUCAGUCUUUGUCUCUUAAGACCUUCAACUGAUUGGAUAAGACCCACCUACAUUA